Molecule: non-coding RNA, 119 nt
Filed under: Helianthus annuus (common sunflower)
Lineage: Eukaryota; Viridiplantae; Streptophyta; Magnoliopsida; Asterales; Asteraceae
Source: RNAcentral
AGGAGCCGUAUGAGAUGAAAAUCUCAUGUACGGUUCUGCAAUAGGGAUGAGAACAGUGAUGUUCUCAAGGCUGACAGGGGUGGACAAUUUGUGUAACAGAAAUUGUCUUGAUAACCAAC